UGCUCUUGCGAUCUCUCAGGCAUUCCAAAGUGAGGAAGUGGAUUCAGAUGUAGUAUCUGUGAGAAAGUACUGACAUGUAAAGGUGGAUAUACUGUUCAUCAGCAGAUGACUUGAAGUCAAAAGAAACGGAGACCAUUCAGUCAUUUCUACAGAUUUCCAAGCACGAAUGCUCUUAUGUUCAGCUGAGAAAAAAAUGAUGAACAAGCAGAAAAUACAGCAGCAAAGGACAAGGAAGAGAUGGCACACAUUUUAAGAAUGAAAUUAACUUAAUAAAUAUUCAGAUCAUUUCUAAGGGAUGUUACAUUUGGGAAUUCACUUUCCCAGUAUAGUACAGAUACUAGUACUUUGCUGGUAGAGGGUGGAGUGAAUCCCUUGUGUGAUUUGAACCAACCCUCUAAAGGUGAAACACCUUAUCACAGAACAACAUUGUUAGCAAUUUAACCUGACAAAUGUUAGUCAAGGUCUCGAUCAGAGAAGUGUAAAUGCCACAAUUACAAUUUUUUGCAAAGUUAUGCAAAUAAGAAUGUCAAAACUAUUUGGUUUAAUAAAUAGUAAUUAUUAAACUUA
Long non-coding RNA from Haliotis rubra (blacklip abalone), 567 nucleotides. RefSeq lists it as uncharacterized. The record is from RefSeq and is a predicted model, not a curated record. NCBI's taxonomy places the organism in Eukaryota, Metazoa, Mollusca, Gastropoda, Lepetellida, Haliotidae. The transcript is spliced from 4 exons.